Molecule: long non-coding RNA, 874 nt
Filed under: Homo sapiens (human)
Lineage: Eukaryota; Metazoa; Chordata; Mammalia; Primates; Hominidae
Description: HSALNT0046100
Source: RNAcentral
CUAAGCGCUCUGGGCUCUCUGGUUCCUCGCCCCAUCAGCAUAGGUAGGAUUUCCAGCUUACUUUCAAGGUCUCUUCCUCCUGCCAGGUAUUGCAGGGAGGCCCCGGAAGGUGUCACCUGUGCACUCAGGCAUCAGCCCUGCCGCAGCUUCCCUCUGCUGCCUCAGGCUGCCAACUGCUGCUGCCUGAAUGCCCUUCUGGCUGCUGCUCCCUGAAGCACCCUGGCCUCUGCAGUGCCAGUCAUCAGUCACCUCUACUGCUCCUGCCCACUGCUGCUAGGGACCUGCGGAUGGACAGCGAGUGGCUGCAGCAUCAUCACUCUCUAUCCUCAAGAGUCCCUGGCGGCUGCAGUCUAGCAUGAAAGCAGAUGGAAGACAUCACCCUCUUGCCUGCAUUAGCCUGAUCGGGGGUCCUCUGCAAAUGGCUGAGCCCCAAGCCCCUGAGUUGGGAACUGAAGUUGCAGAACAAACUGCCACCAAGAAAUCUGGACAGUCAGGGCAUCCAGAGAGACAUAACCAAGAUCUGCUUCUCUGGAACAGAAGCUGCUGAAGCCCUGAAUUGAGUGUACUCCUACUUAUUCGUUUCUAAGUGAACAAUAAGAGAGCCUCAGGCAGAUCCUUCAAGAGAUGUUGCAGAUGAAGGCAAUUGUUAUCAGAGGAGAUGACAGCUCCAUGAGUGUUAUUGCCCCUGAAGACCUUCCGGUGGGACAAGAUGUGGAGGUGGAAAACAUUGAUAUUGAUUCGAUGAUCUCUAACCCUGUGUUGGCCUAGUCUAAUGUGUGUUUCUGUCUUAGUUUUUCACCAAAAUAGUUUAAAAAGUAAAAAUUAAUAAAUAAAUAAAAAUGUUAAUCAUAGGAAAAAGUGUAUGGAAUAAGAA